RNAcentral lists this long non-coding RNA (592 nucleotides) under Drosophila guanche. The record is from RNAcentral. Lineage: Eukaryota; Metazoa; Arthropoda; Insecta; Diptera; Drosophilidae.
UAGUAGUGUUCAAUUUUAAAUUGGUUGCAAGGAAGGCUGCAGGAAAUUAAUUUCAAUGCUACCUCAUCCGUUACAGAUUUCCAAAAUGUUCUAUUAAAAUGAUCGAUCUGCAAGUGUACAGCAAGGUUCGACUCUCCAGAAACUAGAUUUAAUUUCUUGUAUUUCUUUUCUCUUUGGAAUUUUGGAUUGCACUUGACAUUUGGUCAUUUCAGUUGUCCGUCUCCCUCCAUCUCUCUCCUCCUCUCCCUCUGGCCAGUACAUAUCUCUGUCGGCCCUGCAAUCAUCCGGACUCUCUCCGGUUGACAUAUGUGACACUGUGACCGUAAAUGUUCUGCCAUCUGUUAACCCAUAGAGAGGGAGAUAGAGAAAAAGAGAGGGCUACAGCUGUCACUCAGCCACGCUCCGCUUUGCUUUAAGGAUUUCCAAAGAGUUUUUUUCUCUUUUUAGCUUAUCCCUCUGUGACCUCUGCGGAAGAUUUUACUUUGGGGGAUUUUAUUGACUCUUGUUUCGGGGCGCUUUUCUCGUUUUCAUGUUUGUCAUUGUCAAUCUCGUUUAUCGACAUCCGUUUAAUGUCCAGCAAUUUGAAUGGAAC